AUUGAACGCUGGCGGCAUGCCUUACACAUGCAAGUCGAACGGCAGCACGGGAGCAAUCCUGGUGGCGAGUGGCGAACGGGUGAGUAAUAUAUCGGAACGUGCCCAGUCGUGGGGAUAACGUAGCGAAAGCUACGCUAAUACCGCAUACGAUCUAUGGAUGAAAGCGGGGGAUCGCAAGACCUCGCGCGAUUGGAGCGGCCGAUAUCAGAUUAGGUAGUUGGUGAGGUAAAGGCUCACCAAGCCGACGAUCUGUAGCUGGUCUGAGAGGACGACCAGCCACACUGGGACUGAGACACGGCCCAGACUCCUACGGAGGCAGCAGUGGGGAAUUUUGGGACAAUGGGCGCAAGCCUGAUCCAGCAAUGCCGCGUGCAGGAUGAAGG
Molecule: ribosomal RNA, 383 nt
Filed under: uncultured bacterium
Lineage: Bacteria
Description: bacterial SSU rRNA
Rfam family: Bacterial small subunit ribosomal RNA
Source: RNAcentral